CCCGGGUCUUGUACACACCGCCCGUCACACCAUUGGGAGCGGGUUUCACCAGAAGUAGCUAGCCUAACCGCAAGGGGGGCGGUUACCACGGUGAGAUUCGUGACUGGGGUG
This 111-nucleotide ribosomal RNA is filed under the name uncultured bacterium. RNAcentral's name for it is "partial 16S ribosomal RNA". It matches the Rfam family "Bacterial small subunit ribosomal RNA", at positions 1373 to 1482 of the family's 1533-position model. The record is from RNAcentral.